UCCAAGUACUAACCAGGCCCGACCCUGCUUAGCUUCUGAGAUCAGACAAGAUCGGGCGCGUUCAGGGUGGUAUGGCCAUAGACUCUGUUUCCUUUUCUAAAGUUUCCACAGGCAGUUCUCAAAAACGGGAAAAUCACGUCAGUGUUGGCAAAUGACAAUGAUAUUUGCCCUAGAAAAAGAAGAGCUCGGUAAAAUGAGUUGAGACCUCUUUUUAAACCAAUGAAGUCAUUUAAAGUAAAAACAUGUUACAUUAAGGUCUUUUGUUAGGGUUCACUGCUGUUGAACGGGAUGAAAAUGUCACAUCAAUACACAAGAUUUAAACUGAAAACUUUGCCUGAGACCCUGUAAUGUGACGACAAACAAGUAAGAAAGUGAUUGAGAUGGUAUCCCCUAAAGAAAACAAUUUUUAGGUUCAGAUAUUAUUACUGUAAGGAAAAAAAAAAUCCGGACUACACUAUUCUAAACUCACCAUCUCUACAGUGGUUCUUAAGAUAUUUAUAAGGACAGAAAUCACCACUACGCAUACAGACUACAUGAACACAUAUCACAUUUAAAAAUCUCAUAUAUGCAUGUUCAGGAUACAAGAAGAUAAUAAAGGUCACGGCUUCGCCAAUCUCUGCAGACAUAUGAUUCGCUCUCAUUAGAGCACAGUUAAGAGUAUUGUGAAUUGGGAAGUCUUAAAAUUGAAUCGGCUAAAUGUAGUCUUAAAAGCUAUAGUCUUAAUUGGCUCACUUGCUACUUACCUAAGCUGUAUUUACCAGAAAUUUCUGUAAAUACAGUGACCUAAAAUGUACUACCAGCACAUGGACUAUCAUGGUUGCUUUCAACUAAACUCUCCGUUUCUUUGAUUUCUCUAUGACCACAGUUGGCAUUUACUGUGAAUGAAAAAGAGUAAAAAUUGAGAAGUGUUCUGUCUUGUAGGAGGUUAUGUCUUAUAUAUAGAAAAUAUAUAGACACAAACGGGUAAGUCUUGUUUUCCCCGAGGUUGGAAGACCAGGGAUCUACAGCUCAUAGAGAGACAUUUUCAGGAGAG
This is a long non-coding RNA of Herpailurus yagouaroundi (jaguarundi), 1033 nucleotides long. RefSeq lists it as uncharacterized. Lineage: Eukaryota; Metazoa; Chordata; Mammalia; Carnivora; Felidae. The record is from RefSeq and is a predicted model, not a curated record. The transcript is spliced from 3 exons.